AUGUUCUGCCUUUGAGAGGUGGACCUCCCCCAAAGUUUUCUCAGAGGACACAAUUGGUUACAGAGAAUUACCAAGUAGUCUGAACGAUGUCUUCCGUUCCUUAUACCUCCUCAAUUUUGUGAUUAUUGAUUUUGACUUGGAAUUAACCUGGUCGUUUUUGUUAUCACAAUAAUAGUUUUUUGGUUACUUCUACAUUACUUCGGUUGUAUUUACGUAGGUGGGAUAUCUCUUCUGGUAUCUUAUACCGAAAAGUUCAUUCAGUUUGUCAAAGGGGAAAAGGAAUUUAUCUCAUGUUUUGAAUUUUUGACACUAGUAUUUCAAU
This 322-nucleotide unclassified non-coding RNA is filed under the name Hevea brasiliensis (rubber tree). Lineage: Eukaryota; Viridiplantae; Streptophyta; Magnoliopsida; Malpighiales; Euphorbiaceae. The record is from RNAcentral.